This 253-nucleotide ribosomal RNA is filed under the name uncultured bacterium. RNAcentral's name for it is "partial 16S ribosomal RNA". It matches the Rfam family "Bacterial small subunit ribosomal RNA", at positions 524 to 776 of the family's 1533-position model. The record is from RNAcentral.
CACGUAGGGCGCAAGCGUUGUCCGGAUUUAUUGGGCGUAAAGAGCGUGUAGGCGGCCAGACAGGUCCGUUGUGAAAACUCGAGGCUCAACCUCGAGAUGUCGAUGGAAACCGUCUGGCUAGAGUCCGGAAGAGGAGUGUGGAAUUCCUGGUGUAGCGGUGAAAUGCGCAGAUAUCAGGAAGAACACCUAUGGCGAAGGCAGCACUCUGGGACGGUACUGACGCUGAGACGCGAAAGCGUGGGGAGCGAACAGG